CAAGAGCGUAUGUAAAAGUUGUUGCAGUUAAAAAGCUCGUAGUUGAACCUUGGGUUUGGUUGGCCGGUCCGCUUUUUUGCGAGUACUGGAUUCAACCGAGCCUUUCCUUCUGGCUAACCAGUCGUUUCGGCGGCUGGCGAACCAGGAUUUUUACUUUGAGAAAAUUAGAGUGUUCAAAGCAGGCAUUAGCUCGAAUAUAUUAGCAUGGAAUAAUAGAAUAGGACGUUAUGGUUCUAUUUUGUUGGUUUCUAGGACCAUCGUAAUGAUUAAUAGGGACGGUCGGGGGCAUCAGUAUUCAGUUGUCAGAGGUGAAAUUCUUGGAUUUACUGAAGACUAACUACUGCGAAAGCAUUUGCCAAGGACGUUUUCAUUAA
This 374-nucleotide ribosomal RNA is filed under the name uncultured eukaryote. RNAcentral describes it as "partial 18S ribosomal RNA". It matches the Rfam family "Eukaryotic small subunit ribosomal RNA", at positions 592 to 976 of the family's 1831-position model. The record is from RNAcentral.